RNAcentral lists this transfer RNA (87 nucleotides) under Planctomycetaceae bacterium. Its description in RNAcentral is "tRNA-Leu". It matches the Rfam family "tRNA". From Rfam's summary of the family: Transfer RNA (tRNA) molecules are approximately 80 nucleotides in length. Their secondary structure includes four short double-helical elements and three loops (D, anti-codon, and T loops). Further hydrogen bonds mediate the characteristic L-shaped molecular structure. tRNAs have two regions of fundamental functional importance: the anti-codon, which is responsible for specific mRNA codon recognition, and the 3' end, to which the tRNAs corresponding amino acid is attached (by aminoacyl-tRNA synthetases). tRNAs cope with the degeneracy of the genetic code in two manners: having more than one tRNA (with a specific anti-codon) for a particular amino acid; and 'wobble' base-pairing, i.e. permitting non-standard base-pairing at the 3rd anti-codon position. RNAcentral also lists the same sequence under 1 other name. Lineage: Bacteria; Pseudomonadati; Planctomycetota; Planctomycetia; Planctomycetales; Planctomycetaceae. The record is from RNAcentral.
GCCGAGGUGGCGGAAUUGGCAUACGCGCUACGUUGAGGUCGUAGUUCCCGUAAGGGAUUGGGGGUUCAAAUCCCCCCCUCGGCACCA